GUGAACGCUGGCGGUAGGCCUAACACAUGCAAGUCGAACGGCAGCACAGUAAGAGCUUGCUCUUACGGGUGGCGAGUGGCGGACGGGUGAGGAAUACAUCGGAAUCUACUUUUUCGUCGGGGAUAACGUAGGGAAACUUACGCUAAUACCGCAUACGACCUACGGGUGAAAGCAGGGGAUCUUCGGACCUUGCGCGAUUGAAUGAGCCGAUGUCGGAUUAGCUAGUUGGCGGGGUAAAGGCCCACCAAGGCGACGAUCCGUAGCUGGUCUGAGAGGAUGAUCAGCCACACUGGAACUGAGACACGGUCCAGACUCCUACGGGAGGCAGCAGUGGGGAAUAUUGGACAAUGGGCGCAAGCCUGAUCCAGCCAUACCGCGUGGGUGAAGAAGGCCUUCGGGUUGUAAAGCCCUUUUGUUGGGAAAGAAAAGCAGCAGGUUAAUACCCCGCUGUUCUGACGGUACCCAAAGAAUAAGCACCGGCUAACUUCGU
Molecule: ribosomal RNA, 490 nt
Filed under: uncultured bacterium
Lineage: Bacteria
Description: partial 16S ribosomal RNA
Rfam family: Bacterial small subunit ribosomal RNA
Source: RNAcentral